CUGAAGACAUUAAACACAGUAAGAGAUAUCAAAAGCUCCUCAUGGUUGCUGGCAUCACACGUAUUAAAUCAGUUUUAAAUUAUGAAAUUCCCUCCAGUAAAUUUAUCAACUCACCUGUCGUACUCAUUAGACCGUCAGAACAAUCAAUGCCUUUCGCAGAGGACUAUGGUCUUUCUCAGUUCUGCGUUAAACCAGUAGACGUUUUCUUUGUGGAUGGCAAUCACUUAACAAUUCUUGAAAACAAGAAAACUGCUGACAUUAUAAUGAAACUAGUUGAAAAAGAUGAUCAAGACUUCAAGCAGGCCAUUAUGUCGCAAAGCAACCUUGCCAGUCUUCAAGAGGAACAACGGCGUGUCUGAUCAGAUAACUGCCAAUAGCGUAUACUCUGUCUAGCAAGUUAUGGUACUUGGUAUAUCGGAAUAAAAGAACUGUGUAGUAGCAGCGCAGCCGCUCUCACCCUCAUCACGUAUCAACAUGGCCAAUUUUUCCCCUUCGCAUAGUGGAUAGUAUUGAUCACCGAUCAAAAAUCUGUAUCUUAAGAUUUUUGGAUCAUCGCCAAUAUAAGAACUCAUGUUAAUAUUAAUAGCCUCUGAUGAAAGCUUAAAGCACCUGAAAGAGAUUGAGUCAAUCUUCAACUGAUUUGUUCCCAAUAUAUAGUCUAUAGCACGUCACUGCAGCACCGCGGUCCAUUGUACGGCGAAACCUGAUUCGGCGCAUUGACAGAAGACGGUAGCGGCUCGCCGCCACCACAUCGUACCGUUAAUGCCAAUUUGCCAAAUUCCAUAACUCGCUGGACACAGUAGAGUUACCUUACUGACGAGGAGUUUGCCUCUAAUGUUCGUUUCCUAUUUUAAUGGCAUCUCGGGGAUUAGUAGUCCUUGGAGAAUUAUUCUGCAAAGUGAAAUUCAUUUUCUUCAACGAACUAAAGAAAAUUCACUGGUUCCUCAAGGACUUCUAAUACCCAAAUUUCCCAUUCGGGGAGUACCUAGACAUUAAAAGCGGUUUUCUAAUAAAUUCACAAAAAAUCUUUUGUAAGCUACCUAGUCAAUACAACUUUUCUUGCAAGUCUGGUCUUAUUUCUUUGUCUUUGAACGAAUUUGUAAGUUCUGCAAAAAUUAAAGUAAACCGUGAAGAUGUAGUGUAGAGUAGAAGUUGUUCAGCAGCGAUGGCAUGGUGGUGCGAGAAUCAAACUCGAGUGUCAUGAGCGUCAUGUUCAUGACAACGUUUCGAUGCCGUUACGGAUUUUACGGGAUGCUCAGCUGGGACUGAUGACGUCCACAAAGACCUACAUCGAUGCAGUGACCUGCGUGACCCCAGCUUAUUGUUAGUAUUCCAAUGCAUCUGCCUGAGCGCCUGAGCUGAACACUUUUUCCUCAGUCUUGCUAUGAAACUCCAGGGUGGUUUUACCGAAGUCUACAUGAAAAAUUCACAAUACCUCCAAAUCUGAAGGCGGGAAACAACAGUGGAGCAUUUCAGGAUAACAUAUCCAAUGUCAACAUAAACAAUGUCAGCACCUACUAUACCCUAAAUUUCAGCCCAUUUUUAAUAAUGCUUCAAAAUGCCUGCACCCGAUAAUAGACGGAAAAAUUUCCGCCAGAAGGUGAAGAUCGUGCAGAUCGGAAUACAUUUUAUGAUCUGAUACAUCCCCCUGGAUAAUGCCAUCGCAAUGGUAGAGAGGAGCAAAGAGCAGGGGAAAACAAAGAUUGAGCGAAGUACAACAAGGUUAGUCUAAACUCAAGAAUGGUUCGCCAGGUCAGGCCAUUCUUCCGGCAGUUGCGUGAGAUGGAGAGUUAGACUUUAGUCUCUUUAGCCUGCUAAUUAACUUGAACCUUACAGCAAUUUUAAAAAUGUAAAGAUAGAAAUUAAAAUAAAAAAUUGGAAAGUAGAAAAGUCGAUAGGAAUUUUAAAAAUAUUAA
Molecule: long non-coding RNA, 1916 nt
Filed under: Bemisia tabaci
Lineage: Eukaryota; Metazoa; Arthropoda; Insecta; Hemiptera; Aleyrodidae
Description: lncRNA ENSSSA1NGG001390
Source: RNAcentral